UCCAUCGUGAGGUGGAAUCUGAAGGAAGUCCUAGGCAAAGUCUCGGUCUGAGGGACAUGAACCACAUAUAAGGCUUGCUUGAGAGGGACGAGUUUGCUAGACAAAACAAAGUCCAACACUACCCGAAUCUCAAGGAGUAAAUAUGGCAGAUAUAUGAGAUGAAGGUUAUCGUC
This 173-nucleotide non-coding RNA is filed under the name Paramaledivibacter caminithermalis DSM 15212. The record is from RNAcentral. Lineage: Bacteria; Bacillati; Bacillota; Clostridia; Peptostreptococcales; Caminicellaceae.